CAAGAUCUGUAAAACUCUAAUCCACAUCCUAUGAAUGCAACUCAUACGCUUUAAUUAAGCUAAAACCUC
RNAcentral lists this transfer RNA (69 nucleotides) under Mesoamericus bilobatus. Its description in RNAcentral is "Diploglossus bilobatus tRNA-Ala". The record is from RNAcentral. Lineage: Eukaryota; Metazoa; Chordata; Lepidosauria; Squamata; Diploglossidae.